This 301-nucleotide ribosomal RNA is filed under the name uncultured bacterium. RNAcentral describes it as "partial 16S ribosomal RNA". It matches the Rfam family "Bacterial small subunit ribosomal RNA", at positions 509 to 807 of the family's 1533-position model. The record is from RNAcentral.
CAGCAGCCGCGGUAAGACGAACCGUGCGAACGUUAUUCGGAAUCACUGGGCUUAAAGCGCGUGUAGGCGGGAGGGCACGUCCGUCGCUGAAAUCCCCCGGCUCAACCGGGGAACGGGCGCGGAUACGACUCUUCUGGAGGAACGUAGGGGGACCUGGAACUUCCGGUGGAGCGGUGAAAUGCGUUGAGAUCGGAAGGAACGCCCGUGGCGAAAGCGAGGUCCUGGACGUUUACUGACGCUGAGACGCGAAAGCCAGGGGAGCGAACGGGAUUAGAUACCCGAGUAGUCCCUGUCUCUUAUA